ACUAGGUGGCAGUGUGUGAUUACAUCUGGAAGGACCACGCCAGCAAGUCUGGUGUCUCCAGCUGUGACCUCCAGCACCAAGAUGAAAUCUCUGACUCUGCAGCUACUUCAGGAGACAUCACCGUUCACGUAUCUGUAUACACUAUCCAUCUCAGCGGCUUCCAGGAACUCUACAGACGUUUCCUCAGACUACCUGAUGGGGCUAUCAUUGAGGCAUUUGGUGAUAUUAGUGGAAUAAGUCUUUUGUGUAAUGAAAUGAGCAGAGCCAAGGAGCAUGUAAGUGAAACAGACAGCGUGCUGCAUACAUCUUCACGUAUCAAGCUGAGGGAAAGGAAAAAGAGUACAGCAAGGUGGAAAGGGAAUCCCAUUGUCUCCAGCAAGAGCUAAUUUCAAGAGGAAUGUGUAGUUCACAGAUUUGUUUGCAUCCUGAUUUGCAUCCGUGGUAUGAUUAUUGUCUGACAGGAUUUACAGUUCUGGUGUUCACAUCUCUGUGUGUACAGUGUUGUGGACUUAUUGUCUUGCAAAUACUUCAUGCAUAACUCUUAUUCAACAAGCAUUUCAGGGUGGGGUCCUUGCUGGAUCGGAUCAUAGGUUGGAUCAUACAAAUAUAAUUAUUUAAUCUGAUUUUUUUUUCUUUCAAAUACUGGGACGGUCCUAGAUUUCUUAGAUUUGUUUGUACCUGCUUUUCACUGUGGUCGUGGUGAAAACAUCACUGAUUUGCCUUUCAGGUUUCAUUAAUAAAACAUUGCCAGUGUUUUCAGUAACUGUUCAAAGCACAACAAAACACUGUUGUAAUUACAAGGUUGCAAAGAUGCCCAGAAGAGGAACAAUAAUGACUUCAUGCCAUGAAAUGCCACCAGUUCUGUAGCCAAGUCCCAACAGGCUGCAAAAUUUACAAGGUCCCAGAGGAGAUCAUUUUGCUGAGGUCUUACUAUUGGUGAGAUCUACUUCCCUGGGAGCUAUAGCAGCUUAAAAUAACACAGAGGUUAUCCUUAUGUCUUCUUAUUAGUAUUAAAGUAUUAUUUAUAAGUUCCAAACAAAGUCAGUGCCUCUUCUAUUUGGUGUGAUACAAAUGCAUAAUAAAUGUAGUUCAUGCCCUAAAGGGAUUUCAGCUAGAAGAGAUAGCAGAAGGAUGGGUGGGAAGGGGAACAAAGGCAUGGAAAGGUCAUUUGUCCAAGGUUGAAAAGGUCAGUGGCAGAGGCAGAAAUAGAGAGCAGACCUCCUCGGUCCCGGGCCAGUGCCCUGUCUCUUGGUCCUUCCUGCAUUUGGAUCUUCUCUAUUUUUCAAAUGUAGCAGUAAUUAUGGAAUAGUCUUACCUCCAUGCUAUUUUGAAUCAUUCACGUACAACCCUUUAAAUCAAUUAACAUAGUUGUCAGUAGCAUUUGUUUUAACAAGUACGCUUUUCUGGGAUCCAUUUUUUUCACACUGACAUGGUUAAAAUUUUUCAGACGCAUUUAUCUUUGCAAGAUCUCUCACAAUGUCUUGCACAUUGUUGAUUAAUUUUAAUAGUUACAUCUGUGGUUCUCAUCCAUCUGAAUAAUCACUAAAUGUCAUAAAAUAACCUAGAGAUUUAAAUGUCAGUCCUGAAGACAGUUGUUCUUUGGGUUUAAAGUAACAACUUGGUUCCCUCUUUCUUUUCCUUAUCUUCGAAUUGAUUUGCAUGUGAUGUGUGAGCAUACAGGUGUGUUUGUAUGUGUUACAUCCAGACAGAAAUGAUCUUAAAAAUUCUUGUUGAUAUUUAUAAGCAGUGAUGUAAUUCUGGGAGGGUUCUAUUGCAAUAGCUAUCAUUUGGAUGGCUUCUCUCUGUCAUAGUAGAAAUAAGAAAUAAAAUAGCCUUUUUAAUCUUU
Dromaius novaehollandiae (emu) is the source of this 1846-nucleotide long non-coding RNA. RefSeq lists it as uncharacterized. The transcript has 3 exons. Lineage: Eukaryota; Metazoa; Chordata; Aves; Casuariiformes; Dromaiidae. The record is from RefSeq and is a predicted model, not a curated record.